Long non-coding RNA from Passer montanus (Eurasian tree sparrow), 3709 nucleotides. RefSeq lists it as uncharacterized. The record is from RefSeq and is a predicted model, not a curated record. NCBI's taxonomy places the organism in Eukaryota, Metazoa, Chordata, Aves, Passeriformes, Passeridae. The transcript is spliced from 5 exons.
AAUUGUUCUGUUUCUGAAGGAUUCAAGUCAUGGAUGUGAAACAGUUCAAGCUUCCAUUAUGGAAAAUUAUUAUCUUUCACAUGUUCUUUAUGCUGUUCUUCACUAAAAACUUGUUUCAUUGUUGGACUGUGUUGAACUCUUACUGGAAAAAUUCCUGCUCUUCAUUUUCUGGCCUGAUCCAGCUGACUUCUAAGCUAAAAGAGAUUUGCUAGAUUUAGAAGUACUGCCAACACUUGGUAUUCUGCCAGCCACGUUCAUUUUGAGGAAUCCUUGGAGACGCCAGGUAAUAACUAGUACAGGUGGAGUGGUCCCAGGGGCUUCCCAAAGAGGAGCUGCUGGCACAGGAUAAGCUGUUGCUGAAGGAAAAAAAACCAAAACAACCAUGAAAGCUGUAAGAGCAGUAUCCUGGUUUCUGUGAAAAUGGAAAUAAAACCCCAUCAUUCUGCCAAAUCGAUGUUUUCAAAAGCCAUUACCAGACUAAUACUUCAGUAUAAAGCAGUAUGAGCUCUCUGUAUCCUCCCACUGCCAUCCCAGGGAGAGAGCCCAGGGAAGUACAGGCUCAAGGACCUCUGGAUCUUGCUCACAGCCCUCUAAGGCACCAUUUCCUGCUGUCUCUUUUCCUGCAGACGUCUACCUGCCCCAAGUGACCAGUAAUUCAUACAAUCCAUGGUGUGUUGGCUGCCUCCAUCUCAUGGGAUUGUGUCUGCUCUCUCACUGGCAAGCUGAAACUUUUCAUGAAGACUUGAAUGAGUCCCUCGGGGAUUGGACCUUUCUGAAAAUAUAUAUUUGUGAUGGUAUUAGACAACAUAAUAUGGCAUGGAAGUAUUGACAGUCUGGCUACUACAGCACCAAGGCUGACCUCCACAGAAGGAAACUCUGUGACCCUGAGCUCACCCUGGACCCUCAGCCAAAGCACUGUCCAUGCUGGGUGUGAGUGGGCUGGCUCUUGCCCAUUGCCAGGAGAGAGGGAGGCCAAGAACUGCAAGCUGCCCUGGAGCCCACAGCACUUUGCCAGGCAGGUUAAUGGAAAACAGACAGGGCUCUGCCAGAAUGUUGUUGCAAUUGCACAUUUUCAGUAAAACUUCCAUUGAAAUUUAAAGUCAAAUGAAUGGAAAUAUUCCAUCUAUAGCACCACCUAGACCUCUUAGUGAGUAACUGCUGACUAGCCUUAUUUACUAUUAUGUCAGCCAUUGAGGAGGUUUUAAUGAAAACGAACACCAGAUCCAGCUACUCUGACUUACCUAGGCCUGCUGCCCUUGUUUAAAAUAGAUGCUAUUGAAUAGAGCCUUUGAUUAUUUGUGGACUAGAGAUGAUUUUGCCCUCUAAUGAAUUCCCCAUUUUCUGCCCCUUACUACAUCCAGAGCUGAAAUAUUCAUUACUUCAUUACUUCACUACUUUUUUUUUUUUCUAUAUCACUUCUGGCAUUCUUGAAACAUCCAUUUAAUGACAUACCUCUAUGGCCACUAAAAUUUCUAACAUUUUCAUUGAUUUUUUUUCCUCCUUAAAGACACACCUUUUACUUUUCUUUAACUCCCCUCAUUCAUUUCCUACAACCAUAAUAGUUUAAUUAAAAUAGCCUCCUGAUACAAGGAAAUUAUACCUCAAGCAUCAUUGAGACAGAGCAGAGCUGAUGCUGCAGGGAAUGAGGGCUGCCUAACUAGAAGGAAAGGAGAGGUCAGGGUGGAUGUUUGUGGAAUAGGUGUUGAGCAUGUGUCUGGGACUGCAGUGCCUCCCUCAUUAGCAGGCAGGCUGCAAAUGCUGGCUGGCCAUGGGCAUGGUUCUCACAUGAGCUCAUUGGUGCUGGAGCUCUUUGUAGGCCAGUAUAUUUUGGGCUGUGAGUAUGCAUCAGACAAGUAUGUAACAGCGGGAAAACCUGCAGCUGCACUGAUAGGAAGCAUUUGUACAUAGUGGUACUAUGUGGUGUGGGCUCCUAUACUAUAGUUAGCAAUAUUCUAUAUAUACUCCCAUACUAUAUUUAGUUGCCAUACCAUGCAUCCCAGCUAAUCCAAAGAAUGAGGCAUUCAAUACUCCCAGAUAACCCCACUUUUAACACCAGCCACUCACCAUACACAAUGACAUCAAUGCAGCUCCAUGAAUAGAUAGAAAACAGGGAAUGGCAAAGGGUUAUUAUAUGAAGGGGCUGCCAUCUUGCUCAUCUGUGAAUGCAUGGAUACACAAAUUUCUCUCUUAAAAGGGAAUGAAGUUUUAGCAAUAUCUGUGUUAAGGCUACCACCUUGAUUCUGCUUGGUUUUCAAGCAAAAAUUAUUCUUCUGCUAGACUAAAGCAGAGGAAGAAUAAUCUGUAGUCUUAAAAAAUUAAUUUAUUAUACAUUCAUGGAUCGUCUAAUAAUAAAAAUCCUCACCAAACCUAUUGUCAACAUUGCAAAAUGAAUAAGAAACUCCAACAACCAGAAUUCCCAGCAGUGCUAAUAGUUAGUGAGCAAUACUACCUUUACUGCCAGAGUGUGCAGCAGCUGCAUAUUACUGUCACCAGUGUAUUUUAAUUCAAAACCUCAAUAUUUUACAGCCCCUCUACCCAUGUCUUUUUUUCCCAUAAAAAGGCAAUGAGUUAUGCCAUAGUUCUGUUACUUUUCUUGAGGUCAUCUGUAUAUUUUGGGUGGACUACAUGAAUUCCUAUGUCUCUACACUCAGCUGUAGUCACAAUACAUGUUUUAACUCUGAAGUAAAUAUGAGUUAUAAUUUCAUACAUACAACUCUCAGUAGUAGUAAGAGGAAGAGAGGUAUGGUGGUGUUUUACUAUUCAUUCUGGUCCAUGUUAAAGGUCUCUUCAGUAAUAAAGCAACAUUAUUUGUAUUAAUCUGCUUAAACUACAAAUAUUAUUGGCACUAUUUUCUUUAAAAAAUGUAAAGCCAGACUUAGCAUUCAUAAGGAAGUGUUUCCCAGUAUAUUAAGGAUACAGUACUCAAGUGAGCAGAUAAUACUGCUCAGAAAGGUAGCAUUUGACAUGAAAUACAUAUAUUCCUUUCCAAUCAAUCUAUAAGUAUACACAAUUUAUACACACACAGACACACAAACAAACAGAAUUUUGUGUGAAGGCAGGAGUACAGACAACUUUUGAGUACUUCACAGCCUUCUGAAUCUACAUGUUUUUGAGUAAAAUCUGUUUACUCAGCAGAUUUCUGAGUCAGAAAAUGAAAACUCAUUUUACAUGAGCUUGGGUUUGUUUAAGUGUGACAAAUCUGACAGUGGCACCUUCCCACUUGUUCCCUCUGCUAAGGAGCCAGCAUGACCUCUCUGGCUGAUUUCCCUUGGUGUGUGCAGGGAGCAUAUUUAGUGAGUACUCCACAACACAGCCCAACUCAUGAUUUGACUGUUAGUUAAACAUGAAUAUAGCAUGGAAUGGAACCUUUUUUUCCUUGUCUUGCACAGCUGUAUAGCACGAUACACUGAGAUUGUCAAUAGUGCUGUCACCCUCCCAUAACUUAACCAUACAGGAUGUUGUUGAAUGCUGAGGUAUGCAUAGACAAGAUGAGGUACAGCAAUUGAGCAAAUAAUUCAAAUUUGUGGUGUACAAUGGUAACACAAAACUUCAAGGCGUGUAUUAAGAAUUCUCAAGAGGAAAACAUCUUGAAAUUUAUUAUAAUGUAAGUAGUAAACAUAGGAAUGUGUUUUUACAAAGGUGGCAGUUAGGGCUUGUUACAGGUAUAUUUCAACCACUGGUGAAUAAAACCAGAUCUUUUACAAACCCA